Molecule: long non-coding RNA, 1628 nt
Organism: Schistocerca nitens (vagrant locust)
Lineage: Eukaryota; Metazoa; Arthropoda; Insecta; Orthoptera; Acrididae
Exons: 3
Source: RefSeq, a predicted model, not a curated record
AAUAUCAAUUACAAGAAUUGAGUACAUGUUUCCUAUGUAUCACUGUUUUCAUACAUAAGCUCUUUGUCUUUAAACAUGUCUGCUUGUGUCUGUAUAUGUGUGGAUGGAUAUGCGUGUGUGUGUGCGCGAGUGUAUACCUGUCCUUUUUUCCGCCUAAGGUAAGUCUUUCUGCUCCCGGGAUUGGAAUGACUCCUUACCCUCUCCCUUAAAACCCACAUCCUUUCGUCUUUCCCUCUCCUUCCCCUCUUUCCUGAUGAGGCAACAGUUUGUUGUGAAAGCUUGAAUUUUGUGUGUUUGUUUGUGUUAGUUUGUGUGUCUAUCGACCUGCCAGCACUUCGUUUGGUAAGUGACAUCUUUGUUUUUAGAUAUAUUUUUCCCACGUGGAAUGUUUCCCUCUAUUUUAUAUAUAGACUUACCUUAGGGGGAAAAAAGGACAGGUAUACACUCGCACACACACCCAUAUCCAACCACACAUACACAGAGACAAGCAGACAUUUGUAAAGGCAAAGAGAUUCGGCAGAGAUGUCAGUCGAGGCAGAAGUACGAAGGCAAAGAUGUUCAUUACAGGUGAGGUAUGAGCGGCAGCAACUUGAAAUUAGCGGAGGUUGAGGCCUGGCGGAUAAUGAGAAGAGAGGAUAUACUGAAGGGCAAGUUCCCAUCUCUGGAGUUCUGACAGACUCAGUGGUUUCACUUUAAUAACACUAACAGAAAAUACUAGUGUUGCAAUCACAAUAUUCACACGACUGCACAGCACAGCUGUGGUGAAACUGAACUGAAAUACUCAACAAUGGAAGGUCCAGGAUGGAAUGACAAUAUUGUUGAACUGAAAUACUGUCUGACAAUGUAAGAAUCCUUUGGUGGCAUACAAAAAUAUCAAAGUUUAAGCAGUGGCUUUAAACUGGAACAAAUAUCCAAACAAUGCAAUAAAAUUAAUAAGGGAGGAGCAUUUUUGCUAAUCCCAGAAUUUUAGGGAAAUGCAUGUACAGCAGCCAUGUAUAAAAGAUGUUGUGUUACGAAGUACUCUCUCUCUCUGGCAGCAUAACUGGUGCAGUGGUACAGGCGAGAAUACAAUGAACUUAAGUAACUCCCCAGCCAGCAACAAUCAUCCUCUUCUUGUUAGGGUUCAUAUACUGUUGCUCUUCUCCAACUGGUAAACAGAUUGGCUUCACUGAAAUAAAAUUACAUCAAAAAGUCAAUGAAAGUGUAGCACUUUACUGCCUUAGCUGUAUUGUAAUAAGGGAAUCAGUGUUGUUUUUCAACUCGCUUUCGAAUGUACAAGUACACAUUCUAUUAGUAUUAAAACUUAAUUGUCUGUGAAAUCUUAACGUUAAUUUCAUGUUUAAUGUAGUUUUUAAAUGACAUUGUCCUUCUGUUGUGUUUCCAGUUGACAUUUUCACUAUUCUGUAAUCUCAGUGAUUAUUUGUGUAAAUUUAAAGUAGCACUACAUUGCCUACAUGUUUCUUAGUUCCCCAUGUAAAUUGUUUGUAUUCUCUGUAUGUGAAGUUACUAUAUUCAUCAAUGAACAAUUUUGUGUACAUUUUUUUAAAUGGCAGUCCAUUGCCUUUUUUUUCCCAAACUACAUAUUUGUUAAGAAAAAUGACUUGUCCUAUAUCAUGUGUACUUUGUAC